GCUGGGCACGGUGGCGCACACCUGUCAUCCCAGCGGCUCGGGAGGCUGAGGCAGGAGUAUUGCGAGUUCAAAGCCAGCUUCAGCAAUGGCGAGGCGCUAAGGAACUCGGUGAGACCCUGUCUCUA
Molecule: small RNA, 125 nt
Filed under: Marmota monax (woodchuck)
Lineage: Eukaryota; Metazoa; Chordata; Mammalia; Rodentia; Sciuridae
Source: RNAcentral